GACGAACGCUGGCGGCGUCCUUAACACAUGCAAGUCGAACGAAGAGCGAUGGAAGCUUGCUUCUAUCAAUCUUAGUGGCGAACGGGUGAGUAACGCGUAAUCAACCUGCCCUUCAGAGGGGGACAACAGUUGGAAACGACUGCUAAUACCGCAUACGAUCUAAUCUCGGCAUCGAGGAUAGAUGAAAGGUGGCCUCUACAUGUAAGCUAUCACUGAAGGAGGGGAUUGCGUCUGAUUAGCUAGUUGGAGGGGUAACGGCCCACCAAGGCGAUGAUCAGUAGCCGGUCUGAGAGGAUGAACGGCCACAUUGGGACUGAGACACGGCCCAGACUCCUACGGGAGGCAGCAGUGGGGAAUCUUCCGCAAUGGACGAAAGUCUGACGGAGCAACGCCGCGUGAGUGAUGACGGCCUUCGGGUUGUAAAGCUCUGUUAAUCGGGACGAAAGGCCUUCUUGCGAAUAGUUAGAAGGAUUGACGGUACCGGAAUAGAAAGCCACGGCUAA
RNAcentral lists this ribosomal RNA (503 nucleotides) under Veillonella parvula. RNAcentral's name for it is "bacterial SSU rRNA". It matches the Rfam family "Bacterial small subunit ribosomal RNA", at positions 28 to 500 of the family's 1533-position model. Lineage: Bacteria; Bacillati; Bacillota; Negativicutes; Veillonellales; Veillonellaceae. The record is from RNAcentral.